This is a non-coding RNA of Colossoma macropomum (tambaqui), 587 nucleotides long. The record is from the annotation of a RefSeq genome assembly. Lineage: Eukaryota; Metazoa; Chordata; Actinopteri; Characiformes; Serrasalmidae.
UGACACUCUGAAUCACUUUGUCUCUCUGAAGAUCAGUCAUGAUGUUGCUCUGUGUCUUGGUGAUCUUAAUUCAGCUUAAAGAAAGUACUGCUGCAGAUGGAAUGCAGCCACUCUUCUCUGAAAAGCAUGUUUCAGAGGGAGCAGAUGUCACCCUCUCCUGUAACUACAGUGCAGCUACAGGAAACACCUUCCAGUGGUAUCGUCAGUAUCCUGGAUCCACACCAGAAUUCCUCCUUUUUUUCAACGAGUACAAUAAUAAAUCUGACCCUGCUCUUCGUCUGACAGCAGCGGCAAACAGACAAAUGAAACGUGUGGAUCUGAACAUCUCUCAUGCUGUAGUAUCAGACUCUGCACUGUACUACUGUGCUCUGGUGCCCACAGUUACAGGAAACUCAACUACACUGUGCAAAAACUCACUCCACUCACACAACAUUUCCUACAACAAUGGUCUCCUCUGCCCACCUGUGACUGGGGGUCCCAAAGGAGGAAGUACAGACCAGCUCCAGUUCAGCGAUCCUGGUAGUGCUGUACAACUGCUGGAGCCUCAGUCAGUAGCAAAGUUGGGUUACUGGAAUAUCCUGUAUUGA